This 406-nucleotide ribosomal RNA is filed under the name uncultured bacterium. RNAcentral describes it as "partial 16S ribosomal RNA". It matches the Rfam family "Bacterial small subunit ribosomal RNA", at positions 30 to 526 of the family's 1533-position model. The record is from RNAcentral.
AUUGAACGCUGGCGGCAGGCCUAACACAUGCAAGUCGAGCGAGCGGCGGACGGGUGAGUAAUGUCUGGGGAUCUGCCUGAUAGAGGGGGAUAACUACUGGAAACGGUGGCUAAUACCGCAUACUAUCGGAUGAACCCAUAUGGGAUUAGCUAGUAGGUGGGGUAAAGGCUCACCUAGGCGACGAUCCCUAGCUGGUCUGAGAGGAUGAUCAGCCACACUGGGACUGAGACACGGCCCAGACGCCUACGGGAGGCAACAGUGGGGAAUAUUGCACAAUGGGCGCAGGCCUAGUGCAGCCAUGCCGCGUGUAUGAAGAAGGCCUUAGGGUUGUAAAGUACUUUCGGCGGGGAGGCGUUGCCCGCAGAAGAAGCACCGGCUAACUCCGUGCCAGCCGCCGCGGUAAUUC